Peromyscus californicus insignis is the source of this 1082-nucleotide long non-coding RNA. RefSeq lists it as uncharacterized. The record is from RefSeq and is a predicted model, not a curated record. Lineage: Eukaryota; Metazoa; Chordata; Mammalia; Rodentia; Cricetidae. The transcript has 2 exons.
UCGGCCCGCCCCGGGCGGGGCAGGCGGCCUAGGUCUAGGGCUCCACCGGCUCUACCCGGCCCGCGGGCGGGCAUGGAGGGGACGCGCUUUGUGCAAAGCCGGGGACGGGAAGCGAGCCGAGACCCGAUUGCCCUCCGUCUUUAGUGGUCCGGUGGAGUUCCCCUUAGGGACGGACCCCAGUACUGUGUCCUGGGAGAGGGGCUCCCCAGGUGCCCGGAGCCGUUGCAGGGACUGCGGAAGCCUCGCGGUUAGCGCGGCCAGCGGAGGCUGGAGAGGUUAAGUUCAUUGAGUUCUCGCUCGCUCUCUCCUCUCCCCCUCCCCCGUCCUUUCCUCUUUCUCAAUGAGGAUGCAAGUGUAUCCUCUUGAGUCAGCAGAAGCUUUGCAAUGGUCUGUGCUACAGAGAGUGCUCCAAACUGGAGCAUCCCGCACCCGCAGCUCGCCCUCCGGAGCGCGUUCGUGAAUACCGCCUACGGCUGUUAUUUUUCUGUGUGUCUCUCAUUCUAAGUAAACCAAUGGGAUUCUUGUUGCGUUUGGAAGCUGACAGUCUUAGGCACUUGGAACAACUUCCGAUAUUUCGGUGCCAUGGAAGGGCUAAGAUAGAAGGUUCCUGUUCUCCACCAGGCCUCUGUCUGGAAAGCCUAGUGUGUCUAUGCAGUCCUCCAGCUGAUGGAAGUGCAGUUCUCCGGUCCUUAUCAGUCAAAGAAAGGCACAUGCUAAGGAGUUAUCUCCUUGCAAAGACAUGACUUGCUGAUCGCAGAGACUUCGGGGCAGCCUCUGGCUCUGGCUUCACCUUCAGAAGCUUGUUUUUUUGCUAUAUAACAAUUCUUCACUUUUCUUUUCAAGAUAAAAGCAAUCACAACAAAGACAUGCUAAUUAGUCAAAUACAUAGAAUUUGUUUUAAUCUGCUUUCUAACAAACUAUAGGUAUUGUAGAAGGAUAUUUGUAGGAGAGUCAUUUGGUUCUGGAUACCUGGCAUCACAGACUGAAUUUUUCAUCUUAAGCAACUGCUCUGCUGGGGUUGAUGUUUAAAAGGGGGAAUCCUUGUUUUUCAGCAAUGUAUGCUAAAUACAUUCACUACAGUA